This 478-nucleotide ribosomal RNA is filed under the name uncultured bacterium. Its description in RNAcentral is "partial 16S ribosomal RNA". It matches the Rfam family "Bacterial small subunit ribosomal RNA", at positions 28 to 523 of the family's 1533-position model. The record is from RNAcentral.
GACGAACGCUGGCGGCGUGCUUAACACAUGCAAGUCGAACGGUAAGGCCCUUCGGGGUACACGAGUGGCGAACGGGUGAGUAACACGUGGGUGAUCUGCCCUGCACUUCGGGAUAAGCCUGGGAAACUGGGUCUAAUACCGGAUAGGACCCUGGGAUGCAUGUCCUGGGGUGGAAAGCUUUUGCGGUGUGGGAUGGGCUCGCGGCCUAUCAGCUUGUUGGUGGGGUGAUGGCCUACCAAGGCGACGACGGGUAGCCGGCCUGAGAGGGUGACCGGGCACACUGGGACUGAGAUACGGCCCAGACUCCUACGGGAGGCAGCAGUGGGGAAUAUUGCACAAUGGGCGCAAGCCUGAUGCAGCGACGCCGCGUGAGGGAUGACGGCCUUCGGGUUGUAAACCUCUUUCAGCACCGACGAAGCGCAAGUGACGGUAGGUGCAGAAGAAGGACCGGCCAACUACGUGCCAGCCGCCGCGGUAA